Molecule: ribosomal RNA, 1624 nt
Filed under: Salmonella enterica subsp. enterica serovar Dublin
Lineage: Bacteria; Pseudomonadati; Pseudomonadota; Gammaproteobacteria; Enterobacterales; Enterobacteriaceae
Description: bacterial LSU rRNA
Rfam family: Bacterial large subunit ribosomal RNA
Source: RNAcentral
GUUGGGUAGGGGAGCGUUCUGUAAGCCUGUGAAGGUGGCCUGUGAGGGUUGCUGGAGGUAUCAGAAGUGCGAAUGCUGACAUAAGUAACGAUAAAGCGGGUGAAAAGCCCGCUCGCCGGAAGACCAAGGGUUCCUGUCCAACGUUAAUCGGGGCAGGGUGAGUCGACCCCUAAGGCGAGGCCGAAAGGCGUAGUCGAUGGGAAACGGGUUAAUAUUCCCGUACUUGGUGUUACUGCGAAGGGGGGACGGAGAAGGCUAUGUUGGCCGGGCGACGGUUGUCCCGGUUUAAGCGUGUAGGUGUGUGUUCCAGGUAAAUCCGGUUCACUUUAACACUGAGGCGUGAUGACGAGGCACUACGGUGCUGAAGUAACAAAUGCCCUGCUUCCAGGAAAAGCCUCUAAGCAUCAGGUAACAUCAAAUCGUACCCCAAACCGACACAGGUGGUCAGGUAGAGAAUACCAAGGCGCUUGAGAGAACUCGGGUGAAGGAACUAGGCAAAAUGGUGCCGUAACUUCGGGAGAAGGCACGCUGACACGUAGGUGAAGUGAUUUACUCAUGGAGCUGAAGUCAGUCGAAGAUACCAGCUGGCUGCAACUGUUUAUUAAAAACACAGCACUGUGCAAACACGAAAGUGGACGUAUACGGUGUGACGCCUGCCCGGUGCCGGAAGGUUAAUUGAUGGGGUCAGCGCAAGCGAAGCUCCUGAUCGAAGCCCCGGUAAACGGCGGCCGUAACUAUAACGGUCCUAAGGUAGCGAAAUUCCUUGUCGGGUAAGUUCCGACCUGCACGAAUGGCGUAAUGAUGGCCAGGCUGUCUCCACCCGAGACUCAGUGAAAUUGAACUCGCUGUGAAGAUGCAGUGUACCCGCGGCAAGACGGAAAGACCCCGUGAACCUUUACUAUAGCUUGACACUGAACAUUGAGCCUUGAUGUGUAGGAUAGGUGGGAGGCUUUGAAGCGUGGACGCCAGUCUGCGUGGAGCCGACCUUGAAAUACCACCCUUUAAUGUUUGAUGUUCUAACGUGGACCCGUGAUCCGGGUUGCGGACAGUGUCUGGUGGGUAGUUUGACUGGGGCGGUCUCCUCCUAAAGAGUAACGGAGGAGCACGAAGGUUGGCUAAUCCUGGUCGGACAUCAGGAGGUUAGUGCAAUGGCAUAAGCCAGCUUGACUGCGAGCGUGACGGCGCGAGCAGGUGCGAAAGCAGGUCAUAGUGAUCCGGUGGUUCUGAAUGGAAGGGCCAUCGCUCAACGGAUAAAAGGUACUCCGGGGAUAACAGGCUGAUACCGCCCAAGAGUUCAUAUCGACGGCGGUGUUUGGCACCUCGAUGUCGGCUCAUCACAUCCUGGGGCUGAAGUAGGUCCCAAGGGUAUGGCUGUUCGCCAUUUAAAGUGGUACGCGAGCUGGGUUUAGAACGUCGUGAGACAGUUCGGUCCCUAUCUGCCGUGGGCGCUGGAGAACUGAGGGGGGCUGCUCCUAGUACGAGAGGACCGGAGUGGACGCAUCACUGGUGUUCGGGUUGUCAUGCCAAUGGCACUGCCCGGUAGCUAAAUGCGGAAGAGAUAAGUGCUGAAAGCAUCUAAGCACGAAACUUGCCCCGAGAUGAGUUCUCCCUGAGACCAGUCUCU